This 301-nucleotide ribosomal RNA is filed under the name uncultured bacterium. RNAcentral describes it as "partial 16S ribosomal RNA". It matches the Rfam family "Bacterial small subunit ribosomal RNA", at positions 509 to 807 of the family's 1533-position model. The record is from RNAcentral.
CAGCAGCCGCGGUAAUACGGAGGGUGCAAGCGUUAAUCGGAAUUACUGGGCGUAAAGCGCACGCAGGCGGUCUGACAAGUCAGAUGUGAAAUCCCCGGGCUUAACCUGGGAACUGCAUUUGAAACUGUCAGGCUGGAGUCUUGUAGAAGGGGGUGGAAUUCCAGGUGUAGCGGUGAAAUGCGUAGAGAUCUGGAGGAAUACCGGUGGCGAAGGCGGCCCCCUGGACAAAGACUGACGCUCAGGUGCGAAAGCGUGGGGAGCAAACAGGAUUAGAUACCCCUGUAGUCCCUGUCUCUUAUAC